This 497-nucleotide ribosomal RNA is filed under the name uncultured bacterium. Its description in RNAcentral is "partial 16S ribosomal RNA". It matches the Rfam family "Bacterial small subunit ribosomal RNA", at positions 28 to 507 of the family's 1533-position model. The record is from RNAcentral.
GAUGAACGCUGGCGGCGUGCCUAAUACAUGCAAGUCGAGCGAACAGACGAGGAGCUUGCUCCUCUGACGUUAGCGGCGGACGGGUGAGUAACGCGUGUAUAACCUACCUAUAAGACUGGGAUAACUUCGGGAAACCGGAGCUAAUACCGGAUAAUAUAUUGAACCGCAGGGUUCAAUAGUGAAAGACGGUUUUGCUGUCACUUAUAGAUGGAUCCGCGCCGCAUUAGCUAGUUGGUAAGGUAACGGCUUACGAAGGCAACGAUGCGUAGCCGACCUGAGAGGCUGAUCGGCCACACUGGAACUGAGACACGGUCCAGACUCCUGCGGGAGGCAGCAGUAGGGAAUCUUCCGCAAUGGGCGAAAGCCUGACGGAGCAACGCCGCGUGAGUGAUGAAGGUCUUCGGAUCGUAAAACUCUGUUAUUAGGGAAGAACAAAUGUGUAAGUAACUAUGCACGUCUUGACGGUACCGAAUCAGAAAGCCCCGGCUAACUACGUG